UCGGUCAUGCAGCACCAG
This 18-nucleotide unclassified non-coding RNA is filed under the name Mus musculus (house mouse). Its description in RNAcentral is "oocyte_clustered_small_RNA6725". The record is from RNAcentral. Lineage: Eukaryota; Metazoa; Chordata; Mammalia; Rodentia; Muridae.